This 221-nucleotide unclassified non-coding RNA is filed under the name soil metagenome. Its description in RNAcentral is "partial contains 5.8S ribosomal RNA, internal transcribed spacer 2, and large subunit ribosomal RNA". The record is from RNAcentral.
AACCUUAUGGACCUGCGGGCGUAUACCUGCGGAGGGAUCAUUACAGAGUUCAUGCCCUCACGGGUAGAUCUCCCACCCUUGAAUACUAUACCUUUGUUGCUUUGGCGGGCCGCUUUGGCUACUGGCUCUGGCUAGUAAGUGCCCGCCAAAGAACCCCAAAACUCUGAAUAUUAGUGUCGUCUGAGUACUAUAUAAUAGUUAAAACUUUUAACAAUGGAUCU